UUUCCUUCAUUCAAUUGUUUGACCGCCUCUUCAUUAUCUCUCUCCAAUCAAUCCAACCUACCAAAACCAUUGAGAUCCUUUGCUUCUUCAUUUGAAUUUCAACUAAAAAACCCUAAUUGAUCUCUGCUAUGCCGUCUUCUACACUGUCCAGUUCUUUGCCGUGAUUCCAUUACAUCAAUGGCAAAUCAUCGUUGCUUCUUCAGUUAUGUUUUGGACUCUACACAAUCAGCACUGCCUUUACCAACAUCGUAUAAUUUGGACAUUGGACUACAAGACUAUCAUGUAUCUGUCAUUCUCAAGACAGAUGGUGAUGAUUUUUGGAUGGCUAUAGUCAAACCAACAUUGAUUUGAUACUGUAUCUGUAACGGUUGGGCUAAAGUUGUUAACAGUCUUGGUGUUGAAAACAAUGAUAUUAUUGUAUUUGAAGUCGUCAAAGAUAACACUUUCAAAAAUCGUCAUUACAAAUAUGAUCGUGAAGAUGAUUUGAAGAAUGAGUUUCAUCCGUUCGGCCAUACUUAAAAAAUCACCAGACUUGAAGCUUAACACAAAUGAGCUUUGAAUUAGCUACAACUUUAGGUGGCCUGAAGAUAUAAGCAAUCAAACUUUCAAUGGCCCUAUAUUUUUGCAGAGGUGGUGGUGAGCCCUCCUUUUGUGCUUCUUACCACUGUUAAAAGUGAAUUGAGGCUCAAAAUCCAACUUGCAGCCCAAAAUUUAUGGGUUAACAAAGAGUGUUUCGACACGGGAAGAGCAACAACAACAGAAGGGGAUGUAUAUAGUUUUGGUGUAGUUUUACUUAAGCUCUUGAGGGCAGUAAACUGUGAGAUGAAUCAUUUGCCGAGGAGGGAACAAAGCUUGUAACACGGAUCAUACGCGGUGUGAAGUAACUGACAUUGAUGAUGUUGGUGGGGUUACUUGAGCAAACGUUGUACCUCGAAUACUAGAUAGGUUUUCUCCGUAAAUCCUCAUCCUGAAUGUAAGUGAAGACUUAUUUAAAUAGCAAUGUGGUGUCACUUUUAACUAUCUAAUAUUAGACAUGUCCAUCUAUUAAUAUAUAAAACAUUUGUUCAGUUACGAAUACAAAAUGGGGCAUAUGCUAAAAAAUGGAUCAAUUGUUAGGAGUAAAUCAUAUUCGUUCAAAUCCUCCCUGUAUCCAGGACAAGAGUCAUUGCAGCGUGUUAUAAUAGUUGGAGAUAUGGGAAAUAGAAUUUGAAAGUAUCAGAUUAUAAAAAAAAAAUGUUAUUCUAAGAAUUGUACUAACACUUCUAUAAUAAAAUCAUGUAUUUAGCCUAACGCGAUGGAUUAAAUGAGUAUUCAAGUUAUCAGCGAGGAACACACAGGUACUUGAAUACUUUUUUAAUGAUGUUAAAAAGUGCAGUUUUAGCUGCAUUUUAUUGUUGUCUAAAAGUGCAGUAUUACCUGCAUUUUAUUGUUGUCAACAACAUUUUUAUUUUAUUUACUCGCUUUCAAAAAAAUGCAGUUUCAAAACAACAUUUUUAUUUCAUUUAAAUGUUGUCAAAAAGUGCAGUUUUAGUUGCAUUUUAUUGCUGCCAAAAUGACGUUAUUAUAUCAUUUAAAAGCCGUAAAAAAGUGCAGUUUUUUAUGCCUUUUAUUGUUGUCAAAACAAGGUUUCUAUUGCAUUUUAGUGCUGUCAAAAAGUGCAAUUUUAGCUGCAUUUUAAUUCUAUUAGAAGAGCCUUUUGUUGCAAAAUAAUGUUGUUAAAAAGUGUAUAUUUUGCUGCAUUUUAAUGUUGUAAAAUUAUGCGGUUUCUUCUUAUAUAUUAUGUUUAUGGUGUAACGGGUCAAACGGGUAAACUGAAUACUAUGUUGACUAUGACCGAACCUUGAUGAUCCUUCAAAUUUGAAAAGGGUUAAGUGAAGGAAAAUUAGUUUAUAUAACCUAAACAAUCACAACAAGUACUACGUGAAUGCGGAGAUUGGCGACUCGCCGAAAAGUAUAGACAUCACCUUCAUUAGCCAAGGCAUGACCUCUUUACUUUAAGUAACCUGUGUAACACACGGGCACUAACUUAACUAAUAGUUUUAGAGUAUAGUUGGACUAAUACUUGACAAUAUUAUUUUUACUCGGUGAUAAUAUUCGUUUUAAAUUUAUCGACUUAUUUUUAAUCAUAACUGUAUUAAUACUUUGUGCUCAUAUGAACAUAUAGUAACCAUGCAGACAAAUGAGUUGCUUAUCCUGGAUGGCAGCCUAUGGGCAUGAAGAUCAAAAUAUGUGACGGUAGCAGCUGGGCGACACGUGGCGGUAAAGAUAUAGUUGACCGGUCAAAAGGUACUUUCAUUGCAUCAUUUGUAAAUAAUAUAAUGGAACUUUUUUUCAUUUAAAUGUCAAUAUCAAGUGAGAGUGAUAAACCACCUGACUGGGUCGAAUGGAGAGAAGCGGUUGAACCAGAUUCAUCAGUUAUAACCACCGAGUUUGCUGAAACAUCUCACGCUGCAGCUGAUAGCCUCUCCAAUGGUGAUCUUGAAGUUGAUCCAUCGGACGACAUUGCUACUGAUCCUCCAAACAAAGUGGAGGUGACUAAUGUCGUAUAAUUACUGGUAGAUGGUGAAAAGAUACAAGGUUGCAACCUUAAGCCUGGAAUAUUAGAGCAAGUUUGAGAAAAUCACCUGCUGACCAGCUAUGUCUAUAAUCCUUCUUUGUUUGGUUUCUGUUGGUAUGGCCCCCUUUGGGUUUUGUACUAUGUAGGCAUGUUAAGACUUGCUAAGUUGCAUGUUUGUUUUCUUCUUUAAGUGAAUAAAAGCAUGCUUUGCCUGGUAAAAAAAAAACUAACUGUGUUGGUUUUGUAACUUCAUUUGAUACAUUAUGCACCC
Molecule: long non-coding RNA, 2828 nt
Organism: Helianthus annuus (common sunflower)
Lineage: Eukaryota; Viridiplantae; Streptophyta; Magnoliopsida; Asterales; Asteraceae
Exons: 6
Source: RefSeq, a predicted model, not a curated record